CUGAUUUGGGAGAUGAAAGGAGAGUUGGCCUCAGAUGACUUUGAGAAGAGAUAACGACCAACGUGAAAUGGCAGCCAGCAGAGAACAAACGCAAGAACCACCACAGCUGAUAAAGGGAGAGAGAAAGAAAAAAUUGGUCCGACUGGAUUCUCCUUUCUUCUCCAGAGCCUUCUGCCUAUGAGGCUGUAUAACACUGUCAAACAGAGGACCGGGAGGAAGAAAAACACACUGGAGACCCAAACCAUCAUAGUAAGCAGUCCGGACCGGAUGGCAUAUUCGGUCGCUUUACACUCAUUGGUUUCCCAGGGGUUGGUGCCGUUCUCGUGCUCGACCCCAACCAGAAUGAAUAUGGGUCCCGCGCUGCACAGAGCCACAGUCCAGAGGAGUAAAAUCACUCCUUUUACCCGACCCCGCGUGACGAUGACUUUUGCUCUGAAGGGAAAACAGAUAGCGAAGUAUCUUUCCACGCUCAGGGCGGUGAUGUUGAGGAUGGUGGAGUACGUGCAGCUUUCACUCACAAACUGAAAGAGUUUGCACAGCUCGUCGCCAAAGUUCCACGGUCGAUACCGCCAGACCCGGUACAGGUCGAGGGGCAUGCAGAGGAAAAUGAGCAGGUCUGAAAGUGCCAUGCUGCAGAGGUAAAGAUUAGUGGUGGUUCGCAUGUCUUUGUAUUUAGUGACCACCAAAAUGGUCAACAGGUUCCCAGCAAUUCCGACGAGGAACAGGAAAGAGCACGUCACUGUGAUGCCAGUCAGUAUAGGGACUGGGAAGAGAUGGACCGGGUACUCAAAGUCCUCAGCAGUGGCAUUACUGUCCAUAACGUCCUCAGCACAUAAAGUGAUGCUGAACGGGCAGCUGGACCCGUUUGUCCAAUUAGUCAUUAUGAUGAAGUUUCAGAGGAUUUGCAUGGGCUUAAUGGCACCUCAUGAUUUCCACCCAGCUGUUGUUUCCAUGCACAUCUUACAGGUGUUCAGUGCACAGUAUGAGAAGUGCACGCGAGUAACCUGUCAAUGAUGCGACCUGAGCUGCGCGCGGGGGGUACACGAUCCACUCCACGCAUGCGCAUAGGAUACCUUGACUAAUUGUACUGUGAAAUGCAGAUUUGUGUAUUUGUUCCUUUGCGGUGUAUUUUGUAUGUUUGCAACUGUCCUUAGCGUUUUUAACAUUUAUAACAGAUAAGAUAGGCUACUUAUUGCAUUAAUAGAGCGAUUGAAAGCUGGAUUGCAAGGUGAUGGGUAAUAUUUGUUCAUUUUAUGCCACCUGGUGGUGUGACUAGACCAUCUUAUUCAAAAGAAUAUGUAACAGAAAAAUGAAUCGUCGUGCUUUCCUUUAAUAAAUAGAAGCGGCGACUGCUGCUGUCCAGGGUGCUGAAA
Molecule: long non-coding RNA, 1373 nt
Organism: Megalobrama amblycephala (Wuchang bream)
Lineage: Eukaryota; Metazoa; Chordata; Actinopteri; Cypriniformes; Xenocyprididae
Exons: 2
Source: RefSeq, a predicted model, not a curated record